AUAGCGUAUAUUAAAGUUGUUGCAGUUAAAAAGCUCGUAGUUGAACCUUGGGCCUGGCUGGCCGGUCCGCCUCACCGCGUGCACUGGUCCGGCCGGGCCUUUCCUUCUGGGGACCCGCAUGCCCUUCACUGGGUGUGUCGGGGAACCAGGACUUUUACUUUGAAAAAAUUAGAGUGUUCAAAGCAGGCCUAUGCUUGAAUACAUUAGCAUGGAAUAAUAGAAUAGGACGUGUGGUUCUAUUUUGUUGGUUUCUAGAGCCGCCGUAAUGAUUAAUAGGGAUAGUUGGGGGCAUUGGUAUUGAGUCGCUAGAGGUGAAAUUCUUGGAUUGACUCAAGACCAACUAUUG
This 346-nucleotide ribosomal RNA is filed under the name Acantholichen pannarioides. RNAcentral's name for it is "SSU rRNA". It matches the Rfam family "Eukaryotic small subunit ribosomal RNA", at positions 594 to 945 of the family's 1831-position model. Lineage: Eukaryota; Fungi; Basidiomycota; Agaricomycetes; Agaricales; Hygrophoraceae. The record is from RNAcentral.